CGAGUCUAACUGCUGCUCAGUUAGCAGCGGUUAGUGACAAUUAGCAACGGGUAAAUGCGAUUUUUUCCGGUUAGCAGAGGAAGUGUUAUUCCCCUUGGGUUGGACUAGAAACUCAUAACCAUUCCGUUUAUUUCCAAUAUAUUCUUUGUUCUACAGUUUUCUGAGUUUAAGUCAGAUUUUUUAGGCGGAUAAUGAGACUUCCGCCUCUAACUGCACCACCACCCUAAUGCCCCCCCCCCCUACUGCAGUCUGUGACUCACCGCAAACCAACAAAAAGUUGCCCACACAGCCUUAUCAGUCGAAAACCAACUGCUGCCGCCAAAAGCCAGCGGGUAUCAGUUGUGGCAACGGCGUGCGUGACUACAGUGACAGUGAAAACGAUCGAAACAUUCCCAGCGUGGAAGACAAUUUCGGUGCUGUGAGUGAGAAUACUACAGCUCUCAUCGUGGCAUUCGGCGCGGUAUAACGGCCGGGUGGGUAUAACGGCCAAUUAACGAUCGGGAGAUGUUGGCACGCAGCGACGUGAAGGGAACGCCAGAUAAAGAAUAAUGUACUUUUUAUUACGCCGUGGUGAACAUGCUUCCACAUAGUUUUACAGAUCAAAUAAAGAAUUGUGACAGUGCAGGGCCAUAGAAAUAAAACACACAGAGAAAAUAAAAAACACAGUUUUCGGAAAAGUU
Molecule: long non-coding RNA, 680 nt
Organism: Aedes albopictus (Asian tiger mosquito)
Lineage: Eukaryota; Metazoa; Arthropoda; Insecta; Diptera; Culicidae
Exons: 2
Source: RefSeq, a predicted model, not a curated record